This 253-nucleotide ribosomal RNA is filed under the name uncultured bacterium. Its description in RNAcentral is "partial 16S ribosomal RNA". It matches the Rfam family "Bacterial small subunit ribosomal RNA", at positions 524 to 776 of the family's 1533-position model. The record is from RNAcentral.
UACGUAGGGGGCAAGCGUUGUCCGGAUUUAUUGGGCGUAAAGAGCGUGUAGGCGGCCAAGCAGGUCAGCUGUGAAAACUCGAGGCUCAACCUCGAGACGUCGGUUGAAACCGCUUGGCUAGAGUCCGGAAGAGGAGAGUGGAAUUCCCGGUGUAGAGGUGAAAUUCGUAGAUAUUAGGAGGAACACCGGUGGCGAAGGCGGCUAUCUGGACGACAACUGACGCUGAGGCGCGAAAGCACGGGGAUCAAACAGG